UCCGUCUUCUCAAACGAUAGAUGGCAUGAACCAGAACCUCGUACCCAGGAAGGGUCACAGACAGAUCAAAGAGCUCAACACGGGUCUCGAAUCACGCUCCUCUCACAGUGCUGAAUGCUGACACCACCUUUCUGCAUCUAUCUAUGCGCAAGUUACCCCCCCCUUACAUACGGAUACCAAGGAUGCCAGCCAUGCCAGAUCAAACUCACCGUAAGGAGCCCGCUCUCACAUGGUUUCUUCUCCGAAACCCUGCACGCCCUACAGACUGGAGGUGACAACACAAUCCCAAAGAGAGCACACCAAAAGAAGACAAGCAAACCCACAUGAUGAAUGGAGAGAAAUGUUCUUUAGGACCAUGUCAGGCUUCAGCGCCAGUCACAGAGAGAUGGGAAAACUCACUUCCACGAUGAUGCUGACAGUACAUCCCUCACAACCCCACAGCCCUCUGUGGAGGAGAACACCGGCUGAGAACAAACGUUAAGUAAAGUAAGAUGUCAUCGUAUGUGCGCACCCAGAUGGAGACUUGUGGGAACUAGCCAAAAGCUUGUCAAGACUUUAACAUGGCUUGAAAAAAAAAAACUCACCCACCAAAUCUCUUAACUACACAGUUUUAAAAUAAACUCCGACACUUCUCUUAAACAAGGGCUGUGCCUACAACAGAUCUGACGUUCUGUGUAUCUUAUGCACUGAGCUGCCUGCAGUAAACUUCACCCUUCACCAAAUGCCAUAUUUUUUACCCCAAGGUGAGUUAUCCCUGCAUUCUUCUGAGAGCAUGCCCAUGAUCUGUGAUUUUCUCUGAAGAGAACUUUUCAUCUGAAUCACUCAGUUCACAGUGGCAAAUGUUCUCACAGAGGGGAAACAAGCAAGAACCUGGACUUCAUUUGCUUGUCGCCCCCCACACACUUCCCCCCACACACAUAUUUCAAGUAUUCAUAACCAUUAAAAAAGAAACAAUCACUUUCUAUUUGUGUGUUGACAACCACACAGGACAAACAAGAAAUAUUUGUCAGAGUUCUUCAGCUAUCCUCAUAGGCUCCCAAAAGGAAGCAGACUGCUCCAAACACAAUCAAAUGACGAAUUAGCCCAGAGCUCCUCUGUAAGAAAAAUAAAUUGUUCUCACUUCC
This is a long non-coding RNA of Rattus norvegicus (Norway rat), 1124 nucleotides long. RefSeq lists it as uncharacterized. Lineage: Eukaryota; Metazoa; Chordata; Mammalia; Rodentia; Muridae. The record is from RefSeq and is a predicted model, not a curated record.